Long non-coding RNA from Lethenteron reissneri (Far Eastern brook lamprey), 1242 nucleotides. RefSeq lists it as uncharacterized. The record is from RefSeq and is a predicted model, not a curated record. Lineage: Eukaryota; Metazoa; Chordata; Hyperoartia; Petromyzontiformes; Petromyzontidae.
GUUAACGACGUUGACGCCUUCCAACCGCCACGAUCGAAAGCGUUUAGAUCUGUCCGUGAUUCUGACUGUCGAUAAACUAAUAACUCAACUCGUUUUAUUCUCCCAGAAGCGACUUGGCCACAAAUGAUAUCUCAACGAAGUAGCUCAUCACGUGGAAAUAAAUGGAGAGCAGCCAAAUACUCUAAACGUACGUUCAUUCUAAACGUGGUGGGGAAAACCCGGAGAUAAAACCAGACGACUGCAGGGAGAGAGAACAUGCAAACUCUAAAUCUACAGGUGCCAGGGUCUGGAUGGAACCCACGACCUCUUCUUUAUCAGGGGAGGGACGUGACAACUGAAGUCGCUUCAAUUGCUUCAACCACUGGAGGGAACAGACUUCAUGUCUCCGUGCAAGCAGUGUCUGUCACGUGGCAGUCACAUACACUGUCAAGUCUCAGAGACGGAACGAUCGUAAUUAAACGAAGCAUCGGACCAUGUCGACCAAUGCGUAUUGGUGAAGCGUGCAGGGCUCAGGACAUCACAUCCCAGCGACGUGUGACCGUGGCUGGGAAUUCAACUCAGGUGGUUUCAUAGGUCCACUCAGCUACGACUCUCCCACAGUGUCACUCGAAAUAAUCCAGACGCUCUCUCCGCUGAAAAGGAACGGUCAAUGCCGAACAAGAAACAUUAUUGCCUCCCACUGUGUUUAUGUCAUAAGUUUUGUUGGUUGUUAUAUGUAUGACCACAUAUAAUUAUUCUUGGGUGGUGUGCAGGUGCCAAACAUUUAUUGAGUUCCCCUGCAGUACUAUUAAUAUAGAUAUGCGUUAAUAUAUUGACAUCUGAAUUUAAAAUUCCAGACAAACUCCACUCUACAUCCUGGCACCAGACAAACUCCACUCUACAUCCUGGCACCAGACAAACUCUACUCUACAUCCUGGCACCAGACAAACUCCACUCUACAUCCUGGCACCAGACAAACUCUACUCUACAUCCUGGCACCGGACAAACUCCACUCUACAUCCUGGCACCAGACAAACUCCACUCUACAUCCUGGCACCAGACAAACUCCACUCUACAUCCUGGCACCAGACAAACUCUACUCUACAUCCUGGCACCAGACAAACUCCACUCUACAUCCUGGCACCAGACAAACUCCACUCUACAUCCUGGCACCAGACAAACUCCACUCUACAUCCUGGCACCAGACAAACUCUACUCUACAUCCUGGCACCGGACAAACUCCACUCUACAUCCUGGCACCAG